UCCGCCGCGUGCGCCGCAUCCCCGAAAAGGCGCGACCGCGAACGCCUUCCUUCCUCCACAAGGAUCACUCGCUCCCGUACCGUACCUCCGUCUCUGCCUCUCGCCUUCCAUCUCCUCUCCUCCUCCGCGGCGCGUCGUCGAACGGCAACGAUAUGAGGCUACAUCCCUUCAAAAAUCGAAAAUUUUGUCUUGCCUGAUUUUCCAUGUAUACUUGACUGGUAGAACUGAGAUGAGAUCUGACCGACAAACCUCAAUUGAUAAUGAGCAGUCUACCCUGAAGCUACUUUCUGCCGUUGUUAACAAACGACUCAGUUCCAUUGUUUAGUGAUACCAAUGCGUUAUUAUGCAAUUCUCUAUGCUGUAACAACAGCUGGACUUCUCUUGUUAGUUGGACAAGUAUAAUCCUGCAAUGAUUGUCUCCAAAGUUGCAUCCCCUACACCCAGAGUUAAGGUUCACUGCAUGUUCGACGCUGCCAUGACCCGAGAGCGAUGGUGCUGAAGACAGGAACCCCACAAGGUAGAAAAUUUCUUCAUCUGGAAUGACCACUGACGUCCUGUUGUCCCAUCUGCAUCGAAUGUGUCAAACACAUGAGUUACCAAAACUUACAACCGCAUUAUAACUCAAGUGAGCCGGAUCUUGCCGAAGACUUCCUUCGCGAAUUUGUGGAUCGUGCUUCUCGGAAUUAGAAGAUUCAGCCACGGGUGUGGAACUUCCCAGAGCCCCUGAGCUCUCAGCUUCAGCUCAGAGGAGUGCACCCUGUCCAAGAACUCCAGCCUCGUCAUGGUUGAAGUUCUUGGUCAUCUCAAGGCAGUAAAGUACUCUUCCGUCCGACUGGAACUGGCUUGCCUGGACUGGGUCCUGCGGCUUGAACGAUGUCCUCCAGUUGUUCAGGAUGCCCGUCCUAUUUAUGAUCACGAACCCUUCGAUGUAGUCGAAGGUCUUCUCUGCUGAGAUCAUCAUCUCCUGGUCCUCGGUGAAGCUCGUGAAGUCCGAGUAGAGAACUCGAAUCCACCUUACCUGUCCAAUUAAUGCAAGCUCAAGAGCAAUCCUGGCUCUGGUGAUGAUCCCAAACUGACCCAGGCCACCAAGAGCACCAUAGAAGAGGUCCGAGUUCUCCUCGGGCGAGCAGAUCUCGGAGACUGGCAAGGCAAAGAUCAGGUACAUGUUCUCCAUGGAUCUUGCAGGUGUGUUGCUGCCAGCCUCCGGCAAGAGGAAUUGUCCGUCUCGGGUUCGUGAUGUAAUUGAAAUUCCGUGGCGAGGCGACACCGAUCUUCUCCGAAGCUGCGGCUGUUGCGCUCGACCGCGCCGAGGUCAGUCACAUGGCGUGCGCGCGCUUGUCUGCGCCGAACCCACAGCGACAUCCCAACACUUCGUGCCAUGUUUAUAUGCUGCUGCUGCCAUCAAGAAUCUCACGAGACAUAUCAGCGGAAUUAAUUCUCGAUAAUAACCUCAAAUCGCAUGGACACGGAUCACCGGUAAGUACGUCUGCUAGAUCUUUUCUUCUUCUGCAUACAGACCAGCCGUUGUCACAUGAUACAUAUGGAUUCAAAAUUGAGAUACUUGACCUACAUACGUGGCAUUCUCACCCAACUACUCGGAAGAGUUUUGUUUUCCUUUCAGGCAGGCAGGGACGUACGUACUGUACCAAUCACGCUGCUCGUAUCGUCUGGGAAUCCGGAGAAGCGUACGUGUGGGGGGUCCCGGCCUGGGCAGUUAGUUUCUCGUAUCUAACAGCAUCUCGCCUGAUGGCAACGUUUACAGGUGUUGUUCUUUUGUUCCUGUGUGCGCACUCACUGAGACAGAGACAGUUACGCAUGCAUGCAUGCGGCGAAGGUGGCCGGAGAGCGAUCGCCGGUGCGGCCCCGGCCCGGGCCUGGGGAUGUCGGAAACGUACUCGCCGGGGCCCGCGCCCCCACGUGGCCUUCUUGACAUUUCCCCUGUCCCUUGGGCUUUCGGCUCGUGGGCUCUCCUGUCUCCUGCUAACGUGCCAGCUCCUCGGGAGGGCAUCAACUGUGGGGGGCCGUGGGAGGCUCUUCUGCGCGUGUACUCUUCCUGGGAUCAUGUGCUUUUGGGGCACAACUACAAGAGCAUGGCUGGGAAGAUCAGAUGGGUGUUCCUGCUGACUUGCUAUAGUAGUUCUAUCAGAUGUACAUUGACUUUGGUUUUUGAUUUUUCUGGAUCACGGGCUCACAGUUGGGUUGAAGUGAGUGGGUUUUUAGUGAUCAUUAUGGAGGGCCACCUAAAUGUACCGAGGCUUAACUUUUACCGCUGGUAUUUAGGGUGUUCUUGACAGUAGUGUUGCAA
This is a long non-coding RNA of Brachypodium distachyon (stiff brome), 2305 nucleotides long. RefSeq lists it as uncharacterized. The transcript is spliced from 9 exons. The record is from RefSeq and is a predicted model, not a curated record. NCBI's taxonomy places the organism in Eukaryota, Viridiplantae, Streptophyta, Magnoliopsida, Poales, Poaceae.